CACGAACUGCGCGAACGUUAUUCGGAAUCACUGGGCUUAAAGAGUGCGUAGGCGGCUUGACAAGUUGGGUGUGAAAUCCCUCGGCCUAACCGAGGAACUGCGCUCAAAACUGUCAGGCUUGAGGGAGACAGAGGUGAGCGGAACUGAUGGUGGAGCGGUGAAAUGCGUUGAUAUCAUCAGGAACACCGGUGGCGAAGGCGGCUCACUGGGUCUCUUCUGACGCUGAGGCACGAAAGCUAGGGGAGCGAACGGG
This 253-nucleotide ribosomal RNA is filed under the name uncultured bacterium. RNAcentral's name for it is "partial 16S ribosomal RNA". It matches the Rfam family "Bacterial small subunit ribosomal RNA", at positions 524 to 776 of the family's 1533-position model. The record is from RNAcentral.